Molecule: ribosomal RNA, 651 nt
Filed under: uncultured bacterium
Lineage: Bacteria
Description: bacterial SSU rRNA
Rfam family: Bacterial small subunit ribosomal RNA
Source: RNAcentral
GGCUUAGAGUUUGAUCAUGGCUCAGGAUAAACGCUGGCGGCGCACAUAAGACAUGCAAGUCGAACGGACUUAACCAUUAGUUUACUAUUGGAGCGGUUAGUGGCGGACUGGUGAGUAACACGUAAGCAACCUGCCUAUCAGAAGGGAACAACAGUUAGAAAUGACUGCUAAUACCGCAUAUGCCUUGAGUAUCGCAUGGUACAAAAGGGAAAGGAGCAAUCCGCUGAUAGAUGGGCUUGCGUCUGAUUAGAUAGUUGGUGUGGUAACGGCAUACCAAGUCGACGAUCAGUAGCCGGACUGAGAGGUUGAACGGCCACAUUGGGACUGAGAUACGGCCCAGACUCCUACGGGAGGCAGCAGUCGGGAAUAUUGCGCAAUGGAGGAAACUCUGACGCAGUGACGCCGCGUGCAGGAAGAAGGUUUUCGGAUUGUAAACUGCUUUAGACAGGGAAGAUAAUGACAGUACCUGUAGAAUAAGCUCCGGCUAACUACGUGCCAGCAGCCGCGGUAAUACGUAGGGAGCAAGCGUUAUCCGGAUUUAUUGGGUGUAAAGGGUGCGUAGACGGGAAAUUAAGUUAGUUGUGAAAUCCCUCGGCUUAACUGAGGAACUGCAACUAAAACUGGUUUUCUUGAGUGCUGGAGAGGAAAGUG